GGUGUUAAAAGGUAGACGGUAGGGAGUGUUUGAAGUGGGACAGCAGGAGAAGGAAGAAGUGGAGAGAAGGAAGCUUUCACAAUAGCUGGGUGCCCCCCCCCCCCCGGAACAUAGGCCACCAGCUCUCCUACUAAAUUUCCAUAUCCGUUUUCAGUACCAGGAAUUAAUGGAGGACUUCAGGGAGGUUCUCACCGUGGAUACUGGGUUCGCAAAGCAUUUCCAUGGUGGUUAAUUGUCGCUGUCCGGCUGGGUGGCCGAUGAAGCUGGGGAAAAGGUACAAGAAUCUCAGGAGCCAAGAAAGGAAGAGGUUAGGAUAAGAUAGAGUGUAGCUCGCAGCUACUGCCGGCUCUUCUAAAACCAGGUAGUGCCAUGGGCGAUCGUUAAUCUGAGGGUCUGCAGCGCAGUCCCAGAAGAUAAUAUGACGGCAAAGAGACUGAGGGGAAAGACCCCAGUUAAGGCGGCAGCACUCCUGGCAACCAGGUCAGCUUGGUGACAUUUGCCCUCACAGGGGCUGAGGGCUUCAGCUGCCUAAAAAGCCAUUUGCUCAGGCUUGCCCUGUCUGGCAACUUCUAUGCAUUUAAAGGGUCCUUGCUGGUUUCUGAGGCACCCCCUCUACCCCCGAAUCCUCCGGCAGACACCGUCUUCCGAAGACGAGGGAAGCUCCUGGGAGACAUUCGCCCCAUCGUCUGCCUCUAAGCUACUGCUAUAACCUUCCCACAGCAGUCAGGAUCAGCUGGCAGAUCCCUAAAUUAAGGUUCUGAUUACUCUGUUGUUCCAGAGGCUUGUUUUGAGCAAGAUGCUGUGCUUUAAUUAAAAAGAUGAGCGCUCAUGAGUAAGUGAAAAUAUUUUCGACGCUUCACAAAUAUGUUUGACUUUCAUUUUCUUGCAUGUCACAGUAGGGGUGGGGGGGUCAGGCUGGUCAGCACUUUUAUCCAUGAGACCAAUAAAAACCUUUCCUGCUAGCUAACAGCUGGCUCUUUGCACAGCAGAAUUGUAAAGGGGGUUCGAAGUCCGGAAUCUGUUCCUUGGGCGUCUCUGUUUGCAGAUUUCCGCCAGCAUUCAGGUGUCAUUAGGACACAUUUCUCAUUUACCUUUGCAGCCAGAGAUUCUGAAAUGUUUCCUAACAGCAGCGCCACAGCUGGAAUGCAGCUGCUGCAGGGUGGAGCCAACACAAACUCCUUGUGGGUCAGCCGGGUGAGGGAGGGCAAGGAAUCUUGGAAGGUUGGGAAAGUCCUUCUUUCUAAAGCCAGAGCUCAGGAAUGAGUGGGGCCUCUGGUGUGAAAGCUUUCCAGAUGGGGGAAGGAAGGGUAAGUUUUUGCCCUCUGGGUAGAUUCCAAAAAAUCGCUUUGGGGAGGCCAAGUAUUUUGAAACUGCCUUUAAAGCAAACAGCACAAAUGUUUAUAUUGACCUGGAAAACCCUUCCUUUUUCCUUUCCCUACAAUCCAAGUCUGUUCCCUUGAAUAUUAAUCAACAGGAACGUUUGCCCAAGCUUUUCUCCUCCCCCACCUCUUUUUUUAUUAUUAUUAUUAUCUUUGGUUCAAAAAACUUUUGGAAGCUUUUCCAGGCUGGAGCUAUAGAAUGCUUCCAGGAAAAUGCAUAAGGAGUGUCUGUAUUUUGUGUUUCUCUGGAGGGGGCUAACCGUGUUUUUCAGAGAGACUGAGCUGGGGGCAGCCAGGUCUUGUGCAAGUGGCCAGCCAAGCAAAAGGGCAAACGGUACCAGAAAGAUCUGUGCACAUCCCAAAGCACUGAAACGAAGUCCCUAAGGUAUGUCGGAAGAAGAAUUAGUGUUCAUACACACACUAACGAGCGAGUGACACAGCAACGAGCGAGUGUCCACUGCGAGGCCCCACCCAGCUCCUAAGGGUGGUCAGCAGGUCACGGCAAGCGGGAGAUGCAAUGCUAAUGACUCCAGCUCCACGUGGCAACCAUUCAGGAAAAAGCUGCAAUGUUCUCUCUGCCACAUUAAUCAGAGAAACACAUCAAGAGCUGUUGCGUGGAGACAGCUUUCCUCCCAGUACCUGCCCUGCAUACUAAUCACCACCCGCUCCUGGCGGAAACACUGGUGAGAAGGUGGAUCCUGUGUCUGGGGAAGUACCUCCAUCCUCAACGCCGGGAAAGGAACUUAGGAUAGAAACUUCUCCUUAUCCUCAAGAAGCAUCCCAGUAAAACACCAGCAGCAGCAGGUGGCUACGACCCACUGAGUCGCGAGCUGGCUGGGUGUCAACACUGCGAGCACCUGAAGCCAGGUUCAUCACAGGAGAGGGACAGGGUGAAGUUCCCUAGCUGAGCCUGGACGAACUGGAUGUGGUCGCACCUGCUUGCAGAGGUGUCAGCAUAGAAUAGAUCAGAGUUGGUGACGACCAAACAGCCUUGUUGGGCUCCUUGUUGGGCUCCUUCCCAUGCACCUCCCCUGCUGCAGGCCGCCCCCCUCAGAGGGGCUUCACCCCACGGGCUGUCUCCGCAGGGUCUACUGGACGACCUGGCCAGGGGAUGCAGGGGAUGCAGGUCAGAAGGCCAGGAUGGAUGUUGGGUUGUUAUUGGUCCGCUCCAAUGUCACAGGGGCCUUUGAUAUGGAUCCAGGUCACGUCCAGCUCUCCCAGCCAGGGUUCCUCCUUCAAAAGAAAAAACUAAGAGACCUUGGAGGAACUCACUGUCCCAAAAAGUACAGUAAGGAGUGGGAACUUGCAGAAGGCUCUGGUAGAUGAGGGAGUUAGGCAAGGAGCACAGAGGAAAGGAGGGUACUUUUCUUUUUAAUAUUUAUCUAUUUGGUUGCACCAGGUCUUAGUUGUGGCUCGUGGGCUCCUUAGUUGUGGCAUGCGAACUCUUUAGUUGUGGCAUGCAUGUGGGAUCUAGUUCCCUGACCAGGGAUCGAACCCGGGCCCCCUGCAUUGGGAGCGUGGCACCUUACCCACUGUGCCACCAGGGAAGUCCCGGGUACUUUUCUUUACACUAGCUUUUUUCUCUCCAUAAAAAAAUGUGAACACAGACGUAAAGAGAGAAAAAAUGAAAAGUUCCUUUUUUUCCCGUCUCUCACUAAUAUCCCUGCUUCCUUAGCAGUAACCUAUAUUAGCAGUUGGCUCUAUAUCAUCCCAGACCUUUUCUGGGCAUUUACACACACACACACACACACACACACAUACCCAUGCGUGCAUGAUGCCAGGAUGUUUGUUUUUCUUUGCUUUUACAUAAAUGGGAUCAAGCCGACCAUAUUGUCCUGCAACUUCUCCCCCAUAACAAUAUAUCUUGGACAUUUUUUUCAUGACCACAUAUAUAGAGCAUCCUCAUCUGCUGUUGCUUUUCUCUUUUUUCUAAUUUCUGCAUAGUAUUGCACGUGCGAAUGUAACACAGUUGAUUCAACCACCCCCUUUCCACUCACUCCCUCACUCAGGGUCCCUGUUGCGGCCCAACUCUGGGGGGCGUUUGUGGUAAGUGAUACUGCUGCACAGCCCAGGGGACCCCAUCCACGCUCAGGCUGCAGCCGCCCCUCCCACCUCCCAUGAACAGACUUUUUCCCAUGCAAACAAUUCUACAACCAGCAUCCUUGCCCAUGCCUCUUGGGGCACACACACAAGUAUUUCUGUGGGUGUUGAUACCUCGCGUGGGUGGAAGUGCGCGCCCUGCCAAGGUGUGGGAGGGCGCUGACAGCCUCCUCUGCCCCCAUCCCCCCAGCACAUAUCCAUCACUGGCUGCCGCCUGGGCCGCGGCUUCCAGGAAAUCCAUUGCAAAGACAGGAUUGUCAGUGGCUCACACGCUGGGGGCCAUCCAGGGAGUAGAUGAAAUUGUAGGAGAAAAUCCUACCCGGCUCCAGACCGCUCGUAAUGGAGACCCCUUGGUGACCUUUCCGGAGAAGUUAAAGAACACAGGCAGACACACUCACCCUCCAUCGUCCACCACCAGUCCACCUGCCGGGAGCACAGCCCUCUGUCCUUGGAGAAGCCGCUCCUCAUUAGCAGGCCUGGUGGGAAGGGGGAGGCUGGUGCACGGCCCAGGCCGCCGCUGUGCAGGUAAGGAGGCCAGCGGGGACAACUGCUUCCCUGGAGGGUGAACCCAGUGGACCACAGGGCCCUUAGCUGCUCAAGGUCAAGGUACCUGCCCCCUUCCGCCGCCCCCUAGAGAGACCAUCUGGCAGCCAGGCAGCGAUCCUCCAGUGAUUCCCCUCCACCCAGUCCCCAGGCCAACGGAUCCUGCAGCUGCAUUCAGCCCUCCUUCCUCCCUCUGUUCAAACAGAGGUGCCGGCCCCGUGGCCUCAGUUCUUAUUAUCCAGCUUGGCAGCCUUGCCCUGCACCUCCGGGAGGAGGGGGCCUCUGAGCGCAGUGCCCAUGAAGGAGGUGCCGGUGGACGAAUCCAACAUUUUCCUUACCCGGGAGGGUGGCCUGAGCCUUUACCUGGUUUCACAGCAGCUAGGUUCAUAAUUCCUCACCCUCCACCCCUCACCCCCGUUCCUCCCCUUCUUGAUUCCACCCACCCACUCCCACACCUGGCCCCGCACAGAAAACCCAGCCAUUGCUGUGAACGUGGGGAAAUACGCAAUCGUUUUCUGUAUGCAGCUGUCUCCCAGCUCUCCAGGCCUAUUUACCUGAUAAUGACUUAAAAAAUAACCCUAGCUACACCUAUUGGGCAGUGUGCCAAGUGCUUUAUGUAUAUAUCUGACUUAAUUUUCGCAAACUCUACACAGUAGAUACUGCUAAGGAUUUACAGGUGGGGAAAUGGAGGCUCAGAGAGGUUAAGCAACUUGAUUCAGGUCACACAGCUGGUGAAUGCUAGAGCCAGGACUGGAAACCAGGUCCCCAUCAUUCUCCAAGGCUAUGAGCUUAACGGUUGUGCUACCCUGGCUCCCACUUACUUCAUUUCAUUCCUUCUUCUGGGUUGUCCCAAGGACCGGGUUGAGCUGGCCAAUUCCCCAGGCUGCCCCCCAGACUGGAGGGAGCUGUGGCUUCCGGUCCCUGGAGCCGUGUGGGUUCCUGGCAGAGGAAAGACCCUCACAUCUCCGUGUCCAGAUUCUCUGACUCUCUCAUGAGCACACCCAGGCCCCCUCCAGGCCAGUAGAAACUGACAGCCCACCCUGCCUGCCAGCAAACACUUUGGCUGGCCUGGCCAGCUCAGCCUGAGGACGGGGGAACUUCCUCCGGGCAGCACCUCACCGCCUGGACCCAGGCAGGGGCUGGUUUCAGGGCUGCCCAUCCGCAAGCAGGCUGGGAGGCGGGAAAGGGAGGCAGCCCCCAUUCCAGAGGGGCUUUUGCUGCCCUCGUGUGGCCUGGACACACAGCCCUGCACCUCCCUCCUCCCUCCUUCCUCCUUGCUGUUAUCCAGCCUUCCCAGCUGCCAAGAGCCCACACCCAGUCCCAGCCCUGGUGCAAGUGCCCAGGUUAUUUUGCGGCUGAGGAGAGGGCAGCACGAAGGCCAGGGAAAUUCACAACCACCAGUUCGUACCCCAGAGCAAAUAACAUGGAUGGAGGUGAAAUUUAUGUAUCUGUUGACCUGAAAAGAUGUCCUAGUAUAUUGCGCUGUUAAAAAAAAAAGGGGGGGGGGGGAAGGAAGCAGGUUUUAAAGCUGUGUACAGUAAGAGAGCAUUUUAUUAAUUAAACAAAAGUAUUAUCUAUGUAACUAAUCAUAGAAAGAGGAUAUUUGCCAAGAUGUUAACAGAUGAUUUUUGUUUUCUUCUGUUGGCUUAUCUGUGUUUUCUAUUUUUUUCAAUGAACAUCCAUUACCCAGAUAAUUUUAAAAAGCAAUCAAAAUAAACCAAUCCCAGACUGAUUGUACAUCUUCCUGUCCCCCCUACCCCCAACAGCUCUCCAAAAAAGAAUCACAGAUCCAUAUUCCUGGACCUUCCUUUCUGUCUCCAAUCAUUUCCACAUCUCAGUCGGCGUGUGUUGGUUGGAGGUGGGGGGAGGAUUCCUACCUGUUCCAGGAAGCCUUCCCCUGACUAAUGGGAGGUGUGAAGGCUUCUUUGCCCAGGGGGCUUUUUCUCACUGACCCAGCUCUGCCCAAAUGCACAGUGCCUGGAGGCCGUCUUCCCUCCCUCUGGUGCCUUUUCAUGGAAGAGGAAAUGCUCUGCUUUCUACUGCAUUGUUUGUUCCUGCAGGCUGAGCCGACUUCCCUGAGGCUGAGAUGCUCAGAGGCAGCCCAACCCUCCAUCACAUGGACCGGAGCCCCAGGGCAAAUGGUUCCACUGUCUAGAGGUGAUUAUGGCAAAAUGAAGAGUGAGGGCAAAGAAGUGACAGAAAAGAAAGAGCAGUGCUUCAGGAGAGGGCUAUGCUGCCCCUUCCAGAAGGACCCGAGGAAACUAGGAAGGAGAUGGGAACGGAGAUUCCCGAGCAUUUCCUAUGUCCACACAGGGGACCCUCCGAAGACAGGCCCUUGCCCCUCACUUUGUGCGGGUGAGGCCACCGAGGCAGAAAAGCGCCUAGGCCUUAGCUUCCUGCAUCUCUGGUGCUUCACGCCACCGUGUCUCACGACAGAGGAGGCUCCUGAAAAGGUCUCUGGAUGGAGAAAUUAGCGUUGGUGGGCAGUGUCUUCUCCCACCCACCCCCGCCGUGUUAGCCACUGCCCAGGCUCCCCAAGAGCCAUAGACACCCCUCUGCUCAGGAACGGCAGCUGGGACCAAGCACUGUCCUGCAGGGGAUGGCCCUCUGAGCGCCUGCUCGUUUAAUGAGGAAGGUUGCUAAUGUCAUUGUUCUGGCCAUCAGAAAGGCAGCCUAGAGGGCCCAGAGAGCUAGCCGGCAACCCAACAGAACCUAGGGUUCAAGGGAAAGGAGCAGAGGACCUUUAGUGUCACCCUGAACCCCCAACCUUCAAAUCACAUUCCCUGAGGUGGCCAUCCCCAGAGACGCAGGAACCAGGCUCCCAUCGCUGCCAAGCCUCCACACACAGGACAAAUGUGGCAGUUUGCACACCUAAUUGGGAGGCAGGAGACCCUCCCUGGUACUCUUUGAGCUCUGUUCCUAGCCACCUGGGUCAUCUAGGCCAAGUGACUCCUCACCACCACACCUCCCCUUCUACCUACACGGUGCUGUGGCGUUAAGAAGGGCUUCUAAGGGUGCUGCUGAAGAAUGCUCAGCCCCUGGCAGCGUCUCCUCCCUUAAUGGGGGUCUCGUAAUGAGUUCCAUGCCCUGAGCAACUCGGUUUGUGGACAGGUAGUCGAAGCGUGAUUGAUAGCGACACCCCGUGGACACAAUGGGUAACUGCAGUCACCUGGACGGAAGUCACAGGACGACCUUCAACUUUCUUCAUUAUGUGGAGAGGAGCUGAUUGCAAUUAAUCCCACUCAUCACCUUUCACAGGGAGCUGUCUUAGAGCUGAAAAAGAAUCCUUCCCCAAACCAGAAAACAACCCUCCAGCCACACAUUUCCAUCAGCCUCCAGCUAAACACCUGUUUCGUUUCAACUUGUCCCUUUUCAAAUAUUGACCUGAUAGAAGUAUCUAGUGGCCAUGGAGGGAGAGUAAUGUCAACAAUAAUAUUAAUAGAGGAAAUAUGUAAAGGGCUGUUGACUUUUGCCAUGAAUUUCAUGCAUUAUCUCAUUUAAUCUUCCCAGCAAACCGUGCAGGUAUGUGCUCUUACCCCCAGCAUUCAGAGGAGGAAUCAGAGACUUGGAGCAUAAGGGGAAGCUAAGUUUCAAACCUGGGCAAUCUGGCAUCAGACCCCAUUCUCUUUUAAACA
Orcinus orca (killer whale) is the source of this 7657-nucleotide long non-coding RNA. RefSeq lists it as uncharacterized. The transcript has 4 exons. The record is from RefSeq and is a predicted model, not a curated record. Lineage: Eukaryota; Metazoa; Chordata; Mammalia; Artiodactyla; Delphinidae.